Molecule: long non-coding RNA, 852 nt
Filed under: Lathyrus oleraceus (garden pea)
Lineage: Eukaryota; Viridiplantae; Streptophyta; Magnoliopsida; Fabales; Fabaceae
Description: Pisum sativum (pea) long non-coding RNA (PSAT_LNC038824)
Source: RNAcentral
CACACACACACACACACAUAUCAAACUCCCCCUCUUUAUUCUUUCUCUUUGUCAUCACCACUUCUUCUCUUUUACCCGUCAAUGUUUUCUUCUUUUUUCUGCUCUCUCUUUCGCAUCUUCAAUUUUUUUUCCUGAUUUGUUAUACUGUGUUUUGUGUUUUGCAGAUCCAUUCAAAGUUGUUCAUCUUCAUCAAUAAAAUAAUAAAGAACAAGAAUAGGUAAAAAUAUAGAACUCCAGUAGUUAUUCUUAUUUGUAUAGAUUUGUCUUCACCAUUUUUGUAGUGAUUUGUUAUACCGUGUUUUGUGUUUUCCAGAUCUAUUAAAAGUUGUUCAUCUUCAUCAAGAAAAAAAAUAAAGGACAAGAGUAGGUAAAAUUAUAUAACUCCAAUAGUUAUCCUUAUUUGUAUAGAUUUGUCUUCACCAUUUUAUUUUUUGAUGUUUCCUUUUUCCUUGCUUUGAUUUCAACUAUAACAAAAUUUUCCUCUAAAAAAAUAUGUUGAGAUAAAGGGAAAGAGAAGAAGGAUAUGGGUGGUGGUGAAGUUAGGACUUGAAGUUGAAGAUAUCCUUCAUUUAAAAAUAUAUUACAUUCAAUUUUUAAUUUUAUCCAACUAUUUGUUUUGAUUUUUCAUGAUUUUAUUGUAGUUGAGUAUGAAUAUAUAAUGAGACAAGGGAAAAUCGGUGACGGUGAAUAAGAAAGAGCCACGUAAUGAUUUGGUGGCAGAUUAUAGAAUUCUUGAUUUUGCAAAGAGAUAUGCUUAUGAACAAAAUCUUGGAAAGAGAUAUACACUUGUGCAAAAGAAAUUUUGAAACAAAUAAUAAUGGAGAUUGCAGCGAAAGAUCCAAUGAGAAAAAA